GAUGAUCAAAGAACUGGUAACGUAUAAAUUACAAUUGACAUUGUUACGUACAUAAGCUUUUUUCUAGAAACAUCGAUGAUGUGACGUCACGAAGUGGUGAUGACGCAACAGAAGAACCCACUUCAACACGGUAUGUGACGUCACAGAGGAUCAAGCCGACCAUGACGGUAGAGAAGAACGAAAAAAAGUCAGCGAAUAAAGCUGCCGAGGAAAAGCGCAAGACGAAGAACAAAGACGAAGACGCCAAUAAGGAUACCGGUUUGAGGUGUUUGUAGGCCUAAGUGUGUAUAGGUUUAAUUAUAUUAGCGGCGGUAAACCCGCGAAGAAAGAAGAUCAAAAACGAAGACGCCGAAACGGAUAUCGGUUUCAGGUGCUUAGGUUUAUUGUGUAAGUAUAAUUGUGUAUGGCUGUAUGCGAAUAUGUGUUAGCUGGUAUACACUUUAACUGUGUUGUCAGCCAUUUUUUUGCUGGAUCUAACCUUGCCAGCUAUGUCCCCUAAGCACUUUUCAGUGCUUCUACAGGUCUUUGAAAUAAAUGCAUAGGAAUUGUUGCAACAUUCUUACUGGAUUACUAGAUUCUUUCGGCGGUUUUAUAAUUGUCUCGGUUUGCUUUGCGAGAACUGUCUUGGUACACAUAUACUCGAGUAUAAUAUCAACGGGCAUUAUAAUAUACAUCCAUUUAACUUUCCUCAUGUUUUAUGUAUUUCAAAUUUAGCUGCAAAUGUUCCUGCCCCGGUAAAAGUCUUGUACGUUACCAUGACGUCACGUUGCGUAAUUGUGAUGAUGGCCACGUCACAAUUUCUCUACGUCACGUUGAUACGUUGGGUCACCAUCGUCUUGACCCUGCGUUCGGUGCGGUUAUUCCACGGUCGGCUUAGUUACGUUACAGCUGCGGAUUUGUUACGUAUAGACGUCGCCGCCUUGCGGUUCGUAACAGCCACAGUAUGUCGUAACUGUCGAUGCGGUGCGUAACAGCCGGACGAUAUUAUAUUGUGUGAAUAUAUAACUAGAGUAUCGCGGUACCAAGAUGUUUUCUCGAUAGGCCGGGCCUUUGUUGACUUCAAGCCCUUGCAGGUGGGUGCGCACUACAGGUAUUUUCUGUACGAUUGUUGUACCUUUUCAAAUGUCGGUAUUUCAUUGAUCAUGUUGCGCUUCUUAAAUAUGCCUGUUGGUGUAAUAGAGCUUGUGUUUAUCUCUGUUUAGGGUAAUGUUGCGCAGUAUUAUUUUUGUCAUCGGUUUCUUUUCCUUGCAAGGUCUAUCCAACAAGGGUUUCUCACCAGAGUAGAAACCCACUACCAUUGGCUGGGGGCUUGUCGUGCCGUAGUGGCUUUCCACCAACGCCAGCCACAUAAAUAUGAAAUUUAAUCUUGUUUCUAUUUUCCAGAUAUAUACAACUGCUAGACGCUGGACUUUUUAAUUAUAUUAUUUAAUUAUAUUAAAUAAACCAGUCUAUAUACGAGCGUGUUACAUUCUGUUAUUGUUUGUUGUACUUCCAAUAUUUCUGUGCACAAAUUAGUUUCUUGCUUAUUGACAUCCUCCACCGGCAUAAGCUUCUAUUUUACCAUUGCCGACAGGCUGUUUUAGGGAAUGAAAUUGGUGGCGUUAAUUUGAAUUGCCUCUAACCCAGAGUUAUUGUAUUCGAAGCUCGAUGCUGCUACCAUUGUGGGCGCGUCUUUGGACAAGACACUAAACGACAAUUGCGCCAACCCAGUGUUUACUGAAGUUGUCUAAAACCCCAUUGGAUUUGUCUAAACUGUCACCUAUAAAUUCGUUACAAAAAUGAUGUAAUACAAAAAUAAUCACCAAAAA
Non-coding RNA from Ciona intestinalis (vase tunicate), 1808 nucleotides. Lineage: Eukaryota; Metazoa; Chordata; Ascidiacea; Phlebobranchia; Cionidae. The record is from RefSeq and is a predicted model, not a curated record.